ACCCCUUCAUUUCCAUACACUGUGCACACACUUCUUUUCACACAUUUUAACACUAUAGUAUAAGAAUGUAACAGUCUCUUUAUUGAGCAUAAAUAAAAAUAAAACUUUCAGCAACGGAUCUCUUGGCUCUCGCAUCGAUGAAGAACGCAGCGAAUUGCGAUAAGUAAUGUGAAUUGCAGAAUUCAGUGAAUCAUCGAAUCUUUGAACGCACCUUGCACUCUUUGGUAUUCCGAAGAGUAUGUCUGUUUGAGUGUCAUGAAACUCUCAACCCCCCUAUUUUGUAAUGAGAUGGGCGUGGGCUUGGAUUAUGACUGUUGUCGGCGUAAUUGCCGGCUCAGUUGAAAUACACGAGCAACCCAUUUGAAAUAAACGGUUUGACUUGGCGUAAUAAUUAUUUCGCUAAGGACGUUUUCUUCAAAAGUAAGAGGUGCUUCUAAUGCGCUAUUACAGCACUUUAAAUUUUAGACCUCAAAUCAGUCAGGACUACCCGCUGAACUUAAGCAUAUCAAUAAGCGGAGGAAAAGAAACUAACAAGGAUUCCCCUAGUAACGGCGAGUGAAGUGGGAAAAGCUCAACUUUGAAAUCUGGUACUUUCAGUAUCCGAAUUGUAGUCUCAAGAAGUGUUUUCUGUGCCGGUCCAUGUAUGAGUCUGUUGGAACACAGCGUCAUAGAGGGUGACAACCCCGUUCAUGACAUGGAUCCCGGUGCUUUGUGAUACAC
RNAcentral lists this ribosomal RNA (720 nucleotides) under Cystobasidium ongulense. RNAcentral's name for it is "eukaryotic LSU rRNA". The stretch from base 464 to 720 matches the Rfam family "Eukaryotic large subunit ribosomal RNA", at positions 1 to 254 of the family's 3401-position model. The record is from RNAcentral. Lineage: Eukaryota; Fungi; Basidiomycota; Cystobasidiomycetes; Cystobasidiales; Cystobasidiaceae.